GGCGAACGCUGGCGGCGUGCUUAACACAUGCAAGUCGAACGGAAAGGCCCUGCUUUUGUGGGGUGCUCGAGUGGCGAACGGGUGAGUAACACGUGAGUAACCUGCCCUUGACUUUGGGAUAACUUCAGGAAACUGGGGCUAAUACCGGAUAGGAGCUCCUGCUGCAUGGUGGGGGUUGGAAAGUUUCGGCGGUUGGGGAUGGACUCGCGGCUUAUCAGCUUGUUGGUGGGGUAGUGGCUUACCAAGGCUUUGACGGGUAGCCGGCCUGAGAGGGUGACCGGCCACAUUGGGACUGAGAUACGGCCCAGACUCCUACGGGAGGCAGCAGUGGGGAAUAUUGCACAAUGGGCGGAAGCCUGAUGCAGCAACGCCGCGUGCGGGAUGACGGCCUUCGGGUUGUAAACCGCUUUCGCCUGUGACGAAGCGUGAGUGACGGUAAUGUGUAAAGAAGCACCGGCUAACUACGUG
This 468-nucleotide ribosomal RNA is filed under the name uncultured bacterium. RNAcentral describes it as "partial 16S ribosomal RNA". It matches the Rfam family "Bacterial small subunit ribosomal RNA", at positions 28 to 507 of the family's 1533-position model. The record is from RNAcentral.